Molecule: small nuclear RNA, 108 nt
Organism: Otolemur garnettii (small-eared galago)
Lineage: Eukaryota; Metazoa; Chordata; Mammalia; Primates; Galagidae
Source: Ensembl
GUGCUCACUUCAGCAGCAAGUGUACUAGAAUUGGCACAAUACCGGAAAAGAUUAACAUGGCCCCUGCACAAGAAUGACAUACAAAUUUGUGUUUUGUAUAAAAAGGGG